RNAcentral lists this ribosomal RNA (292 nucleotides) under uncultured Alphaproteobacteria bacterium. RNAcentral describes it as "partial 16S ribosomal RNA". Lineage: Bacteria; Pseudomonadati; Pseudomonadota; Alphaproteobacteria. The record is from RNAcentral.
GGACUACCAGGGUAUCUAAUCCUGUUUGCUCCCCACGCUUUCGCGCCUCAGCGUCAGUAAAGGACCAGGUCGCCGCCUUCGCCACCGGUGUUCUUCCCAAUAUCUACGAAUUUCACCUCUACACUGGGAAUUCCACGACCCUCUUCCCCACUCAAGCCUGAAUGUAUCAAGCGCAGCCCCCAGGUUAAGCCCGGGAAUUUCACGCCUGACUGUUCAAACCGCCUACGCGCCCUUUACGCCCAGUCAUUCCGAGCAACGCUAGCCCCCUUCGUAUUACCGCGGCGGCUGGCAC